AUUGAACGCUGGCGGCAGGCCUAACACAUGCAAGUCGAGCGGGGACUUCGGUCCUAGCGGCGAACGGGUGAGUAAUGCUUGGGAAUCUGCCCAGUAGUGGGGGAUAACGUCCCGAAAGGGACGCUAAUACCGCAUACGUCCUACGGGAGAAAGAGGGGGAUCUUCGCACCUCUCGCUAUUGGAUGAGCCCAAGUCGGAUUAGCUAGUUGGUAGGGUAAUGGCCUACCAAGGCGACGAUCCGUAGCUGGUCUGAGAGGAUGAUCAGCCACACUGGAACUGAGACACGGUCCAGACUCCUACGGGAGGCAGCAGUGGGGAAUAUUGGACAAUGGGCGAAAGCCUGAUCCAGCCAUGCCGCGUGUGUGAAGAAGGCCUUCGGGUUGUAAAGCACUUUAAGCGGGGAGGAAGGUUCGCGGCCUAAUACGUCGCGGAAUUGACGUUACCCGCAGAAUAAGCACCGGCUAACUCUGUG
This 472-nucleotide ribosomal RNA is filed under the name uncultured bacterium. RNAcentral's name for it is "partial 16S ribosomal RNA". It matches the Rfam family "Bacterial small subunit ribosomal RNA", at positions 30 to 507 of the family's 1533-position model. The record is from RNAcentral.